GCUGGCAUGGCGUAACGGCAGCCGCGCUUGCCUUAGGAGCAAGUCCUUCGGGGUGGGGGUUCGAAUCCCUCUGCCAGCACCA
RNAcentral lists this transfer RNA (82 nucleotides) under Prevotella sp. Its description in RNAcentral is "tRNA-Leu". It matches the Rfam family "tRNA". Rfam says of the family: Transfer RNA (tRNA) molecules are approximately 80 nucleotides in length. The record is from RNAcentral. Lineage: Bacteria; Pseudomonadati; Bacteroidota; Bacteroidia; Bacteroidales; Prevotellaceae.